UACGAAGGGGGCUAGCGUUGUUCGGAAUCACUGGGCGUAAAGGCGCGUAGGCGGCCGUUCAAGUCGGGGGUGAAAGCCUGUGGCUCAACCACAGAAUUGCCUUCGAUACUGGACGGCUCGAGACCGGAAGAGGUCAGUGGAACUGCGAGUGUAGAGGUGAAAUUCGUAGAUAUUCGCAAGAACACCAGUGGCGAAGGCGGCUGACUGGUCCGGUUCUGACGCUGAGGCGCGAAAGCGUGGGGAGCGAACAGG
RNAcentral lists this ribosomal RNA (252 nucleotides) under uncultured bacterium. Its description in RNAcentral is "partial 16S ribosomal RNA". It matches the Rfam family "Bacterial small subunit ribosomal RNA", at positions 524 to 776 of the family's 1533-position model. The record is from RNAcentral.